This 279-nucleotide ribosomal RNA is filed under the name uncultured bacterium. Its description in RNAcentral is "partial 16S ribosomal RNA". It matches the Rfam family "Bacterial small subunit ribosomal RNA", at positions 506 to 784 of the family's 1533-position model. The record is from RNAcentral.
UGCCAGCAGCCGCGGUAAUACGGAGGGAGCGAGCGUUAAUCGGAAUUACUGGGCGUAAAGCGCGCGUAGGCGGCUUUGUAAGUCGGAUGUGAAAGCCCUGGGCUCAACCUGGGAAUGGCAUUCGAUACUGCAGAGCUAGAGUAUGGUAGAGGGAAGUGGAAUUUCCGGUGUAGCGGUGAAAUGCGUAGAUAUCGGAAGGAACACCGGUGGCGAAGGCGACUUCCUGGGCCAAUACUGACGCUGAGGCGCGAAAGCGUGGGUAGCAAACAGGAUUAGAUA